GGUUUAGUGAGGCUUCCUGACUGGCGCCGAUACUCUGGCAACAGAGCGUCGGAUGCCGGAAAGUUGGUCAAACUUGAUCAUUUAGAGGAAGUAAAAGUCGUAACAAGGUUUCCGUAGGUGAACCUGCGGAAGGAUCAUUACCGAUACAACAACGACUCUGUCGUCUGCUGUGUGAACCGUACCCAACCUUAUUCAGGGGUCGGCCCGGGGGGCCGUUAAAUGGCGAUCGGACGGGAAGUCUCGCGGCCGCUUCGCCUGCCCCGCCUUGGUUUUUUUUUAAACAUACGUGUCUUGUCUGAUGUCUGUCGAGGCGUCCGCCUCGUCAAGUAGAACAAAAAGCGAGAGACAACUUUUGACGGUGGAUCUCUUGGCUCACGCAUCGAUGAAGAACGCAGCCAGCUGCGAUAAGUAGUGUGAAUUGCAGAAUUCAGUGAAUCAUCGAAUCUUUGAACGCAAAUGGCGCUCUUGGGUUCUCCCAGGAGCAUGUCUGUCUGAGUGUCGGAUUGUCAUCCAUCGCGGGUGCGCGCUGCCGUGCGCGCGCCGGCGGCGUUGAGGCGUCACGGCCUUUCACAAAAAUCGGCCGUGUCCCUCGAAAGGCAGAGAGACUCGCUGUGGUUCGGGGCUCGUUCCCGCAGCGCAGCAGCGGAGGCCAAAAGUGUCAGCACUCCUUCGCGCGCUGCCGGGACCCCGCCGCGUCCGAGUCGUUCUAGGCGAAGAACCAUGAUUCAUCCUCUUGACCUCAGAUCAGGCAAGGC
This 755-nucleotide small RNA is filed under the name Favites complanata. RNAcentral's name for it is "eukaryotic LSU rRNA". The stretch from base 348 to 501 matches the Rfam family "5.8S ribosomal RNA". Lineage: Eukaryota; Metazoa; Cnidaria; Anthozoa; Scleractinia; Merulinidae. The record is from RNAcentral.